AAAGAGAGUUGCUUUAAGAGCAAGUAGGGGCACCAUAGACCACGCUACUAGGGGAGAAAAGAAAAUGAAGGAGAGGAGCAGCGGUUAAGAAAAGUUGCACUCAAUAUCUCAAAGGACGUGAAGAAAUUCUGGAUGAAAAUAGAAAAACUGUCCACUUUGUUCAAAUGGUUAUCUAAUUUCUUCAAAUAACUCAAGGCACUUGAUAAGCAACUUGAGUUUCUUUUGGGCCAAACCGAGAAGUACUCAACAAUGUUAGCAGAAAGUCUCGUUGAUACUCAUAAACCAGUGCAACAAUGUACUACACAAGAUCAAUUGAGUAUUAAAUACAAAGAUGCUAAUGUGGGACUAUGUGAGUGAGAUACACAUGCAACCUUGUUGUGAAUAUUUAGAGAGAACUAUCAGGCAAUUUCUUGUCCUAUAUUGGGUGAUAUGAGUCAUGGAGCUGUUUACCUUUUAGACUUUACAAUUUUUUUGUGCAUCUAAGUUGUGAGUCUUUUUUGUGCAUCUGUGUUGUGGGUCUGUUUUGUGCAUGAGUUGUGGUUCUGGAUUGGUGAAAUUGGGUUUCUUUAGGGUUUAAAAGUAGUCGUGUUGGUUUAAAAUUUGGGUCCUGCUGCUACAUUGUGUUGUCUUCUUUUAACUAGGUAGAGAUGCUGGGAUUU
This is a long non-coding RNA of Juglans microcarpa x Juglans regia, 659 nucleotides long. RefSeq lists it as uncharacterized. Lineage: Eukaryota; Viridiplantae; Streptophyta; Magnoliopsida; Fagales; Juglandaceae. The transcript has 4 exons. The record is from RefSeq and is a predicted model, not a curated record.